RNAcentral lists this ribosomal RNA (253 nucleotides) under uncultured bacterium. RNAcentral's name for it is "partial 16S ribosomal RNA". It matches the Rfam family "Bacterial small subunit ribosomal RNA", at positions 524 to 776 of the family's 1533-position model. The record is from RNAcentral.
GACGUAGGGGGCCAGCGUUGUUCGGAAUUACUGGGUGUAAAGGGUUCGUAGGCGGUGCGGCAAGUUGGGAGUGAAAUCUCUGGGCUUAACCCAGAGGCUGCUUCCAAAACUGCUGCGCUUGAGUGUGGGAGAGGCGCGUGGAAUUGCAGGUGUAGCGGUGAAAUGCGUAGAUAUCUGCAGGAACACCCGUGGCGAAAGCGGCGCGCUGGACCACUACUGACGCUGAGGAACGAAAGCUAGGGGAGCAAACAGG